This is a long non-coding RNA of Lycium barbarum (goji berry), 827 nucleotides long. RefSeq lists it as uncharacterized. The transcript has 3 exons. Lineage: Eukaryota; Viridiplantae; Streptophyta; Magnoliopsida; Solanales; Solanaceae. The record is from RefSeq and is a predicted model, not a curated record.
UGAGAAAUAUAUCUGCGGUAAAUCACAGAGUUAUAUUUGCACCUUUUCACUAAUAAGAAUAUAAUAUUAUGUUUAAAUUUGAUCUGAAAAUACACAUGUCAUUUUCUUUUAAACAGAAUAGCUAACCUUUUUCCUUUAUUUCGCUCAAUCUCUUCCUUCCCCCUCCAUUUUCUCACAAAUUACGAUUAGCUUUACUCUGAAACUUGUCAGGUUUGUCGACUCCAUCUCGGGCAUCUGCCCAAAAAUCUCGCCACCCAAAAGUCUCACAAGAUUCCGAUGCUGAAGCUUGGCAAUGUAGAUAACUUCGUUCUUGAAUUCAUCAAGUCCUUGCAUGGAAGACCUUGAUAGUCUCUUCACAGCAAUUUCUUGUCCUUCCAGCACUCCCUAGAAAUGGCAAAAGUAUAUCAGUAGAUAGCAUUAACUGGUUACUAUUCCAAGAAUUUUGCAGUGUAUACCUUGUAUACGGGUCCAAAUCCACCCUCUCCAAUCUUGUUGUUUACUGAAAAGUUAUUUGUGGCUUUUGUUAUUGUCGAUAGUUGGAACAGUGGCAGCUCAAAAUCUUCUUUGUGUUUCAGUUUCUUCUUCUUUUUCCGUCUGUACAAGAACAGAAUCAGGCCUAGCAGACACAUUGCCAUCAACAACGAGAAAAUCAUUUAGUUGUUUAGGUAUCCCACUCCAUCGAAAACCAUUCCAUGGUCCUGCACGGACUGAUACUCUUGUGCCACGCUUGGUGAGGGCCUGUGGAUAUCCAGUAGGGUCAAUGUGACGAGUGAAUUCUCCUGGAGCUGCAUCAUUAUCGUUCUUCCAUGCUGAAAGGUAACUCUCAU